UACGUAGGGUGCGAGCGUUAAUCGGAAUUACUGGGCGUAAAGCGUGCGCAGGCGGUUCGUUGUGUCGGUGGUGAAAGCCCCGGGCUUAACCUGGGAAUGGCCGUCGAAACUGGCGAACUGGAGUGUGGCAGAGGGGGGUGGAAUUCCGCGUGUAGCAGUGAAAUGCGUAGAGAUGUGGAGGAAUACCGAUGGCGAAGGCAGCCCCCUGGGCCAAUACUGACGCUCAUGCACGAAAGCGUGGGGAGCAAACAGG
This 253-nucleotide ribosomal RNA is filed under the name uncultured bacterium. RNAcentral's name for it is "partial 16S ribosomal RNA". It matches the Rfam family "Bacterial small subunit ribosomal RNA", at positions 524 to 776 of the family's 1533-position model. The record is from RNAcentral.